AGAGUUUGAUCCUGGCUCAGGAUGAACGCUGGCGGCGUGCCUAAUACAUGCAAGUCGAGCGAUGAGGCUCCUUCGGGAGUACAUCAGCGGCGAACGGGUGAGUAACACGUGGGUGACUUGCCCCGAAGAUGGGGAUAACCUCUGGAAACGGGGGCUAAUACCCAAUGUGCUCGGUGAUUCGGUUCAUCGAGUAAAGCUCCGGCGCUUCGGGAGAGGCCUGCGGCCCAUCAGCUAGUUGGUAGGGUAACGGCCUACCAAGGCAGAGACGGGUAGGGGGCGUGAGAGCGCGGACCCCCACACUGGCACUGAGAUACGGGCCAGACUCCUACGGGAGGCAGCAGUAAGGGAUAUUGCGCAAUGGACGAAAGUCAGACGCAGCGACGCCGCGUGGGCGAUGAAGGCCUUCGGGUUGUAAAGCCCUUUUAUGGGGGAAGAGAAAAAGGACGGUACCCCAUGAAUAAGUCCCGGCUAACUACGUGCCAGCAGCCGCGGUAAAACGUAGGGGACAAGCGUUAUCCGGAUUCACUGGGCGUAAAGAGCGUUGAGGCGGUUCCGUAAGUUGGGCGUGAAAGCUCCGGGCUUAACUCGGAGAUGUCGUUCAAUACUGCGGGGCUUGAGGACAGCAGAGGAAGGUGGAAUUCCCGGUGUAGUGGUGAAAUGCGUAGAUAUCGGGAGGAACACCCGUGGCGAAGGCGGCCUUCUGGGCUGUUCCUGACGCUGAAGGCGAAAGCUAGGGGAGCGAACGGGAUUAGAUACCCCGGUAGUCCUAGCUGUAAACGAUGGAUGCUGGGUGUGGGGGGUGUAAAUUCCCUCUGUGCCGAAGCAAACGCGUUAAGCAUCCCGCCUGGGGACUACGGCCGCAAGGCUAAAACUCAAACGAAUUGACGGGGGCCCGCACAAGCAGCGGAGCGUGUGGUUUAAUUCGAUGCUACACGAAGAACCUUACCUGGGUUUGACAUGCACGUGGUAGGGAACCGAAAGGGGACCGACCUUCGGGAGCGUGCACAGGUGCUGCAUGGCUGUCGUCAGCUCGUGCCGUGAGGUGUCGGGUUAAGUCCCGUAACGAGCGCAACCCUUGCCCUUAGUUACAAGUGUCUAAGGGGACUGCCCGGGACAACUGGGAGGAAGGUGGGGAUGACGUCAAGUCAGCAUGGCCUUUAUAUCCAGGGCUACACACACGCUACAAUGGCCGGUACAAUAGGUUGCGAAGUCGUGAGGCGGAGCCAAUCCUCAAAGCCGGUCUCAGUUCGAAUUGCAGUCUGCAACUCGACUGCAUGAAGCUGGAGUUGCUAGUAAUCGCAGGUCAGCCAUACUGCGGUGAAUACGUUCCCGGGCCUUGUACACACCGCCCGUCACGUCAUGGAAGCUGGCAACGCCUGAAGCCGGUGAGCUAACCCGAAGUACUGCCUUGCGCAGUCCUACGGCAAGUUCGGUAACAAGGUGUAAGUCGUAACAAGGUAACC
RNAcentral lists this ribosomal RNA (1463 nucleotides) under uncultured organism. Its description in RNAcentral is "bacterial SSU rRNA". It matches the Rfam family "Bacterial small subunit ribosomal RNA". The record is from RNAcentral.